This 21-nucleotide small nuclear RNA is filed under the name Arabidopsis thaliana (thale cress). Its description in RNAcentral is "snRNA_15103". Lineage: Eukaryota; Viridiplantae; Streptophyta; Magnoliopsida; Brassicales; Brassicaceae. The record is from RNAcentral.
UUGGAAUUGAAUAAAGCUUCC